Non-coding RNA from Pelobates cultripes (western spadefoot toad), 257 nucleotides. Lineage: Eukaryota; Metazoa; Chordata; Amphibia; Anura; Pelobatidae. The record is from the annotation of a GenBank genome assembly.
GUAUAAUUAUCACACUAUCAGCACUGCUUACAAAAUGCUGUCUGUGCAACAGAACUUUUAUUAGGCUGGUUUUCCUUAUAUCUGUGUAACUAUAGCUGUAUUAACGAUUUCUAUGUAACUGUGUUGGUGGAUGAUUCCUUUAAAUAUUUUCUAUACAUUUGUAAUUAAAGUUCACGUUCUGUGGUGGAAUGAGAGUCCGGACAAUCGAGCUGCUGGAAGACAUUUUGCUCACGAAGAUGCAAGAGUGGUGGCAGCUG